This 446-nucleotide ribosomal RNA is filed under the name uncultured bacterium. RNAcentral describes it as "bacterial SSU rRNA". It matches the Rfam family "Bacterial small subunit ribosomal RNA", at positions 331 to 793 of the family's 1533-position model. The record is from RNAcentral.
CCAGACUCCUACGGGAGGCAGCAGUGGGGGAUAUUGCACAAUGGGGGAAACCCUGAUGCAGCGACGCCGCGUGGGUGAAGGAGUAUUUCGGUAUGUAAAGCCCUAUCAGCAGGGAAGAACAAUGACGGUACCUGACUAAGAAGCACCGGCUAAAUACGUGCCAGCAGCCGCGGUAAUACGUAUGGUGCAAGCGUUAUCCGGAUUUACUGGGUGUAAAGGGAGCGUAGACGGCAGUGCAAGUCUGGAGUGAAAGGCGGGGGCUCAACCCCCGGACUGCUCUGGAAACUGUACGGCUGGAGUGCAGGAGAGGUAAGUGGAAUUCCUAGUGUAGCGGUGAAAUGCGUAGAUAUUAGGAGGAACACCAGUGGCGAAGGCGGCUUACUGGACUGUAACUGACGUUGAGGCUCGAAAGCGUGGGGAGCAAACAGGAUUAGAUACCCCAGUAC